GCCUGUUCGAGCGUCAUUAUAACCCCUCAAGCCUGGCUUGGUGUUGGAGCAUGCCCCUGGGCAGCUCUCAAAAUCAGUGGCGGUGCGUCUGGCUCUAAGCGUAGUAAAUCUCUCGCUACAGUGUCCAGGCGGUUGCCUGCCAGAACCCUUAAUUUUCUAUGGUUGACCUCGGAUCAGGUAGGGAUACCCGCUGAACUUAA
RNAcentral lists this unclassified non-coding RNA (200 nucleotides) under soil metagenome. RNAcentral's name for it is "partial contains internal transcribed spacer 2 and large subunit ribosomal RNA". The record is from RNAcentral.